GGGGGAGCUCCUGAAGCCCAGCUCCCGGAGAGGCCUCCACGUGCCCAGCCACGCCUUACCACAUGGGGUGGGGGGUGGGGGGCUCGGAGACGCCGGAAGGCCAGGCCUGUGGGAGCAGAGUGCCUGAGUGUCUGCAGAAAGGAUCCAGGCUCCAGGGGCCCGGCUGGCGCUCCGCCUCCGUGCAAGGGAGGGGCUGAGCCCAGAUCCUCUCCCCAGCUGUGGCCAGGCGGCCUGUGUCUCUCCAUCCUGUCUCCUUGGCUUCCCCCUGGGACCAGCAGGGGACCUCGGGCCAAGUGGUGCUUCCCCCCUGGAAGAAUCCCUGUUCGUGCCCCAGGUCCCAGCAGUGACAGAAGAGGGGUGCAGCUGACCAAAGGAGCCCUCCUAGUUCCGAGUACCUGGAGACAGACCCUGAAGGUGGGUUCGAGGAGGUGGGUGCUGGAGCCAGCUGUGAGGAAGCUACCUUCUCUUCAGGGAACCCUGAAAUCGGGAGAGUGUGCCUGGCCCAGGAAUCAGCCCGGCCAAAGCAUGACAUUCCCAGAGAAAUGCAGGGUUGGAGAAAUGGGGUUGGAGAAAGGCAGAUGAGGGGACAGGGAGGUUUGUGGGGCUGGAGGGAGAGACCUGGGAUCGAGGUUAUUUGUCUGGGCUGGGUGUCCUGUGGCUCUGGAGGGCCCUCUUUGGCCCCUGCCAGGGGCUGGUGGAGAGGCUGAGGUGUUCCUGACCCGGGGGAUCUACUCAGGGACAUCCCUGGGUGCUGGGCCAGGUGCUGGGGCUGCUGGCAAAGCCGUGCUGUGGCACUGAAGGGUCCUUGGCUCUGUUGAGUUCCAGCGGCGUGACCUUGGGUGCGUUAUUAACCUGCAUGGCCUCAGUUUCCUCCUUUGCAGAUGGAGCUAAAAGUCAUUGCCUAGGAGUCCGUUGGUGGAUGAAAUUAAUUAAUUAACAAUUUCGCUAAGCACCUGGGCCUCCUGCAUAUCCUGUUCGUUUGCAAGCGUUAUUCUUAGCCAAGGAAAAGAGAAAGCUGGGUCUCCUCCAAGGACACUUUGACAGGCCCUCCCAAGGGAAGCUGCCUGACUCCCAGCCCAGCUGGACCUGCUCUGUGCCCGGGAGCCACCCUCCCUGCCUGCCCUCUCCCGCUCUGUCAUGCUCCUGGGAUCAUCUGUGCGGCACCUGUGGUUUGGAUUUGUUACUGACCUGCAUGAGCGUGUAAUCCUUCUCUGUGUGGAUUCGCCCGAUUUUAUUUCAUCCUUUCUGCUCUCAGUGGAAUACUGGAGUCUCCAGGCUUCGCUGAGGACAUAGUGUUGCUGUGAACAAUGCCGUGAGGCUUUGGGGCCCACACGUGCCCCUUCUGUGGGCACAGGCCUCCCAGGGGCAUGGCCGGCAAAGUCUGCACGUGUUCUGAUUCAGCAGAGGGGUGAAGAGUUUUCCCAAGGGACUGUAGUGGUUCAUGUGCCCACUGGUUAUGGGUCCUGCAUCCCUGUGGACCACGGGCAUUUUCUGCUCUUUUCUUUUUUUGUGGGGUGGGGUGGGAGGAGGUUUGAGACAAUCUUGCUACAUAACCCAGGUUGGCCUUGAACUCGAAGAAAUCCUCCUGAGUCCUGGGAUUACAGAUGUGUGCCACUUGCCCUUUCCCUUCCUACCUGCUCUGUGCGUACAGAGUGCUACCAGCCAAUCUGCACUGCCUCGGGGACUAAAGAAGCCAAGUGCUUUUCAUGAGGUUUUUGCCAUCCUACUUUGAUCUGUUCAGCUCUUUUGCCUCCCUCCCCCCCCCCUCCCUUAUAUUUUUUUUUUUUUUUUUUUGCCUUUUUCAGAUUGAUUUGUGAGAGUUCUUUCACUAUUUGGAGCAGGUCUCUGCAGUGUGUGUUGUUACUAUUGCCUCCCACCUGUGGCUUUCCUUUUCGUUCCCCGUGCUAAAUGUUUUAGGUUGGUCUAGUUUAUCUUUUUUUUUUUUUGGUACUGGGGAUCAAUCUCGGGACCUUGCACUUGUGAGGCAGACAGCAGAACCACUAUGCUAAAUCCCCAGCCCUUGUUUACCUUUUUUUGUUAUUGUUGCAAUAUUGGGGAUCAAACCCAGGGAGCAUUGAACUAUAUUUGCAGCUCCCUUUUUUCAAAACAAUUAAAAAAUUUUUUUUUUUUUUGGUACUGGGGAUUGAACUCGAGUCCUUGUGCUUGUGCAGCAGGUGGUGAAACCACUGAGCUAAAUCUCUGGCCCCAAUUUUUAAAAUUUUGACAGUGUCUUGUUUAAUUGCUCAGGCUGGCCUUAAACUUGUGAUCCUCCUGCCUCAGCCUCCUGGGUAGCUGGCAUUAUUGGCAUGCAGCACUCAGCCUGACUGAUCUUUUUUUAUUUUUAAAAUUUUUUAUGGUUAGUACUUAUGUUUUUAGUUUAAAAAAACUUUAGCUAUUCCUAGGUCAUGAAGAUGUUGUCUUGUUCUUUCUUCUUUACAAUUUUCGUCUUCGACAAUGUGGUCUGGAAUUUCUCUUUUUUUUUUUUUUUUCUUUCGGUCUGGAAUUUCUUUCUGAUCCUGAUGUGAGGUCAGGGUUGUGAUAGACUGGGACACAGGCUCCAAAGAGAGGCAGGCGCUCAUGCCUAGAACCUGUGACUGUUACCUUACAUGGCAAAGUCUUUGCAGAUGCGAUUAAGUGAGGGAACCUGAGAUGGUGAGAUGAUCCUGGACUACCCAGACAGACCCUGAAUUCAGUCCCAUGUGUAGGAGGAAGUCGGGGAGGUUUCAUACACUCACUCACUUGCACACACACUGCCAUGUGGAGCUGGAGCAGAAAUCGAGCUUAAACUUCAGAUCAAUGUGGCAACAAACCAGGCAAAGCCAAAGCCUUCCAAAGCUGGAGGAGAGGAGCAAUGGGUUCUUCCUAGCUCUGGAGGGAAUUUGGCACUUCCGGUGCCUUCGUUUUGGGCUGGGAAUACUCACUUUUGACUUUUGUCCCUCAGAACUGGGAGGGAGUAGAGCUCUAUUGUUUUAAGUCACCAAACUGCUGGUAAUUUUUUACAAAAUCCUCAGGAAGCUAAAACCAGGGUCAGGUUACAGUUUUUUUCCUUGGACAUUCUCUUCAGCUGACCCAGCACCAACCCUGAAGGGCCACCCAGCCCCCACUGGCCUGUGCUGUCACUUUUGUCCCGAGUCAGGUGUGUGGGUGGCUGGGGU
Molecule: long non-coding RNA, 3155 nt
Filed under: Heterocephalus glaber (naked mole-rat)
Lineage: Eukaryota; Metazoa; Chordata; Mammalia; Rodentia; Bathyergidae
Description: lncRNA (ENSHGLG00000045044.1)
Source: RNAcentral